GAUGAAGAACUCAGCGAAAUGCGAUACGUAAUGUGAAUUGCAGAAUUCAGUGAAUCAUCGAAUCUUUGAACGCAUAUUGCGCUCUCUGGUAUUCCGGAGAGCAUGCUUGUUUGAGUAUCAGUAAACACCUCAACUCCCCUUUCUUUUUUUGAAAUGGGAGCUGGACUUGAGUGAUCCCAACGCUUUUCUCACCGAAAAGUGGCGGGUUACUUGAAAUGCAGGUGCAGCUGGACUUUUCUCUGAGCUAAAAGCAUAUCUAUUUAGUCUGCCUAAAAAACAGAUUAUUACCUUUGCUGCAGCUAACAUAAAGGAGAUUAGUUCUUGUGCUGACUGAUGCAGGAUUCACAGAGACAGCUUCGGCUGGCCUUUGUAAACUCGAUCUCAAAUCAAGUAAGACUACCCGCUGAACUUAAGCAUAUCAAUAAGCGGAGGA
This 433-nucleotide unclassified non-coding RNA is filed under the name soil metagenome. RNAcentral's name for it is "partial contains 5.8S ribosomal RNA, internal transcribed spacer 2, and large subunit ribosomal RNA". The stretch from base 1 to 120 matches the Rfam family "5.8S ribosomal RNA", at positions 35 to 154 of the family's 154-position model. The record is from RNAcentral.